CUGAAAUGGUUGUACAUAUAUGUUUGGUUUGGUGUUUGUAGGUUUACCCAAAUUGGGGUGGCAAAUGGCCUAUUUUUCUCCACAUGGGUAGAGACACAGGCGUGUGUCUCAGCUGUGUGCAACACAAGGUUAUGUGGCACGAUCGUUUGUCCCCUAGGGUACCCUACAGUUGUAAGUUAGGCUCAAGCACGGUCAAGGCACAUAGGCGUGUGGCUAGCCGUGUGGCCGAAGUCAGAUUUGACCACGGC
Molecule: long non-coding RNA, 248 nt
Filed under: Gossypium barbadense (sea-island cotton)
Lineage: Eukaryota; Viridiplantae; Streptophyta; Magnoliopsida; Malvales; Malvaceae
Description: long non-coding RNA (GBAR_LNC000573)
Source: RNAcentral